Long non-coding RNA from Gopherus evgoodei (Goodes thornscrub tortoise), 1360 nucleotides. RefSeq lists it as uncharacterized. The transcript has 5 exons. The record is from RefSeq and is a predicted model, not a curated record. Lineage: Eukaryota; Metazoa; Chordata; Testudines; Testudinidae.
GCUGCUGCUCAGAGAGACCUCGCCAGGUCCCGCCCCUGGAGCCCGCCCGCAGUCCCGCGGCUGAGGUUGCGCCUUGGGCUUGUGCCAGCGGACACUGCCCCCCACCCCGCCCCGCCAGAGAGCUCUCCCCGAGCAAUAAAGCAUAUCUACACUGCCUAUAUCACAGCACAGCCACAGCCGCACUGUAACCCUCCAGGUCCUGACCAGGUGCUGGUUUGCUGGAUGAGCUGUUCCACUACCUCCAACAGUCAUCGCUGUUGGCUGCCACCCUGGCCCAGAGAUCAAGCUGCCCAGACAUACAAGGUGAAAGAAGAUGAUGGAUGGGGAUUCUGGAUCUGAGGUGAGGUGCGUGUAGGGGCCAGCAAUGGAAACUCUGGUCAAUGUCCUCCUCCUGGCAGAGUGCUGCUGCUACUGCUUUGCUACAACUGGAAAUUCCUAGGAUUCCGAAGUAAUUUAAGCAGGAAAACUGUUCCAAGUAAAUUAUUUGUUUCCGAGCUUCAUCACACUGUUUUCAGCACAUAUGGACUAAGUGUUUUUCAUGAAUAUAGACAGUACAUCCAACACCCCCACCCUCCAAAAAUAUACAGUCAGUAAAAAGUAGCAAUAUUGGAACUUUAACAUGCAAGAGAGACACCAGUUAGAGGAAAAAACAGAUUUAUUUUUAAACAAUCUAACAGCUAUGUUCCCACACAACAUGUGCUGGUUGGAAAUAUUUACUUCAUAUUUCAUUUUUGUUAAUGUCAUUUCAUAAGCCACUAUUCACUCAGAAGUAUAUGUGCAAAUACUGAAACACCAAUGUUUUGAUUACAGAGUGUCUAAUAUAGUAUGUUAACUACAGUACUCCCAAAAAGGCUCCUGACUGAACAGAGGGGAUACACCCCAAAUCCUCCUAGGAGGCCUGAGGAUUCCUUCUGCCUGUUAGAAAUACACUCACGAGGAGGCUGAGCAUAGUGCCUUCCAAAAUCCAUUAACAACCACUCGCUCAAAAUCAACUACAGACUUGUGUAAAUUAAUUCAGAUUAAGGUGGAGUGUGAAUUUAAAGUACAAUAGCUAUUUCUGAGUAACUCCACAUGUGGAUCUUUAGAGGUUUGACUCUUCCUAAAUAGCUAUUCUGAAGCAACUGCAUGAGUAGACAUGCUCUAGCCUGAGUAAAGGCUACCUCCAUAUGAGUAAGAGAUUGAAAGCUCAGGCUCUAGGUUCCCCAUUUAAUUGCUGGAUUUGGUGUAGUGCAUGUCCUUCCCACUAGUGUGCUGACAUGAUCUUCAAACCUGAAGUGAAUAUCUCCUUGCAGCUCCGGAUUCUUCAAGGUUUCUUCAAUCAUUUGAAACAGCCAGUCUCUUCCGACAAACACAGAGUCUG